AUGUCCAGCAGUGCUCUCCUGCUGUGUUUGGCUGUGACCUUCUUUUUUCUCUGUGGGGUAGGGCCACGCGUCAAGCUGUAUGGCUGUGUCAGUUCAGGGACUGCAGCGAAGGGAAUACGUGCUGGGAAGAGAAAAAUGAGACAAGGCUGGGAUGAGAGGCUCAGCCAUCCCUGGAUAAAAUGUUUGAGAUCACGCUGGAAGUCUGGCAAAGUUCACCUUGUGGAAAGGAACACAUUCAGAAGGGGCACAAACUUAGGAAGAUCCUGUCUGGGAUUAACUCUGCUGAGGACACUGGAGUGCAGCACGGAGCGGGCAGGUCCACGGGUCUGUGGGUGCUAAUGGUGCUGCACCAGCACCUGCGGAGGGCUGAGAAGGGGCAAAGCAAAAAGCUGCUCCUCAGCUUCCAAAUGGUGCUCCCAAGAGGAGAAUUGCUUCAGAAGGAGCUCCUCACAGGUAUUGGAUCCCUUGUAUCUCUUGACAAACCUUUGCACUGAGAGAUAUCUCUUUUUUCAGAAAAUAAUAAAGCUGGGCAGCUUGCAAGCCGCGGGCUUGCG
Molecule: long non-coding RNA, 554 nt
Filed under: Anas platyrhynchos platyrhynchos (common mallard)
Lineage: Eukaryota; Metazoa; Chordata; Aves; Anseriformes; Anatidae
Description: lncRNA (ENSAPLG00000026224.1)
Source: RNAcentral